AGAGAGAGACAUGCGCGCAUAUCAAUAAGCGGAGGAAAAGAAACUAACAAGGAUUCCCCUAGUAACGGCGAGUGAAGCGGGAAGGGCUCAAAUUUGAAAUCUUAAAGGGUUUCCCUUUACGAAUUGUAGUUUAAAGAAGUGUUUUCUGUUGAGGUUUUGGUAAAAGUUCUUUGGAAUAGGACAUCAUAGAGGGUGAGAAUCCCGUAUUUGACCUUUACUUUCAACUUUGUGAUACACUUUCAAAGAGUCGGAUUGUUUGGGAAUGCAGUCCAAAAUGGGUGGUAAAUUUCAUCUAAAGCUAAAUAUUGGCGAGAGACCGAUAGCGAACAAGUACCGUGAGGGAAAGAUGAAAAGAACUUUGAAAAGAGAGUUAAACAGUACGUGAAAUUGUCAAAAGGGAAGCGUUUGACACCAGUGUUGUUUUUCUGAAAAUCAAUUAAAGAACUGUUUAUGCUAAGUUGUUUAGACUUUAUCAGCUAACUGUUUAGUUUUGAGCUUUUCUUUAAUGCACUUUUCAGUUAACAAGUCAACAUCAAUUUCUUUUGCUGUAAAAAAGCUUGAGGAAGGUGGCUUGAGAUUCGUCUUAAGUGUUUAUAGCCUCUUGCCUAUGCAGUCGGAGAGAUUGAGGUCUGCAGCGUAGAUCCUUCGGGGCUAAAUGCAUUUGUGCUAAGUUAUAGCAUUUUAUAGACAACUUGUUGACUAUGAUUUGUCUUGUAGCUUACUCGCUUAUGUUAUUUUACCUACGCUUAGGAUGUUGACGCAUGAGAUAUACGC
Molecule: ribosomal RNA, 774 nt
Filed under: uncultured Neocallimastigales
Lineage: Eukaryota; Fungi; Neocallimastigomycota; Neocallimastigomycetes; Neocallimastigales
Description: partial large subunit ribosomal RNA
Rfam family: Eukaryotic large subunit ribosomal RNA
Source: RNAcentral